UUGGAUACCUAUGCAGGCAGACCUAUAGGACAACUGCUGGAAAAUUAAAGGGAUAUUUUUAUCCUAAGUUUACAAGUGGAUCCCUUCUGUUGGACUUCACUGAUACUUUGAAAAACUGAGGAAAUGCCAACCCAAUGAGCCAAGAAAAAUGAAUGAAAUAUAUAUCUACAUGCUGGAGAAGAAUAUAAUUCAUUAGGUGGCCUAUAAUAAGGAAUCCCAAUAAACGCUAUCAUAUUCUGGGAAUAAUUUUCUUCAAGUUUUUUCAACUUGGUAAUAAAUAUUUUUCAGUACAACUUUGGUUCAAUUAGAACUUCAUACCUUUUGAAUACUACAGUUAUUCCAAUAUAAACAGAGAGCUGUUAUUUAGAAGUGAGUACAAUUAUACUGAUGGGUCAAUUGUCUGGCUUACUGAUUAUGGAGUGAUUCAGCAGACAACUAUUAUCAUAAUGUGU
Molecule: long non-coding RNA, 452 nt
Organism: Pseudophryne corroboree (corroboree frog)
Lineage: Eukaryota; Metazoa; Chordata; Amphibia; Anura; Myobatrachidae
Exons: 4
Source: RefSeq, a predicted model, not a curated record